Molecule: ribosomal RNA, 528 nt
Filed under: Bacillus velezensis
Lineage: Bacteria; Bacillati; Bacillota; Bacilli; Caryophanales; Bacillaceae
Description: bacterial SSU rRNA
Rfam family: Bacterial small subunit ribosomal RNA
Source: RNAcentral
CGAAGCAACGCGAAGAACCUUACCAGGUCUUGACAUCCUCUGACAAUCCUAGAGAUAGGACGUCCCCUUCGGGGGCAGAGUGACAGGUGGUGCAUGGUUGUCGUCAGCUCGUGUCGUGAGAUGUUGGGUUAAGUCCCGCAACGCGCGCAACCCUUGAUCUUAGUUGCCAGCAUUCAGUUGGGCACUCUAAGGUGACUGCCGGUGACAAACCGGAGGAAGGUGGGGAUGACGUCAAAUCAUCAUGCCCCUUAUGACCUGGGCUACACACGUGCUACAAUGGGCAGAACAAAGGGCAGCGAAACCGCGAGGUUAAGCCAAUCCCACAAAUCUGUUCUCAGUUCGGAUCGCAGUCUGCAACUCGACUGCGUGAAGCUGGAAUCGCUAGUAAUCGCGGAUCAGCAUGCCGCGGUGAAUACGUUCCCGGGCCUUGUACACACCGCCCGUCACACCACGAGAGUUUGUAACACCCGAAGUCGGUGAGGUAACCUUUAUGGAGCCAGCCGCCGAAGGUGGGACAGAUGAUUGGGG